CCUACGGGAUGCACCAGUGAGGAAUAUUGGACAAUGGGUGGAAGCCUGAUCCAGCCAUCCCGCGUGCAGGAAGACGGCCCUAUGGGUUGUAAACUGCUUUUAUCUGGGGAUAAACCUACUUACGUGUAAGUAGCUGAAGGUACCAGAAGAAUAAGCACCGGCUAACUCCGUGCCAGCAGCCGCGGUAAUACGGAGGGUGCAAGCGUUAUCCGGAUUUAUUGGGUUUAAAGGGUCCGUAGGCGGACUAGUAAGUCAGUGGUGAAAUCCGACAGCUUAACUGUCGAACUGCCAUUGAUACUGCUAGUCUUGAGUAAGGUUGAAGUGGCUGGAAUAAGUAGUGUAGCGGUGAAAUGCAUAGAUAUUACUUAGAACACCAAUUGCGAAGGCAGGUCACUAAGUCUUAUCUGACGCUCAGGUGCGAAAGCGUGGGGAGCAAACAGGAUUAGAUACCCCUGUAGUC
This 460-nucleotide ribosomal RNA is filed under the name uncultured bacterium. RNAcentral describes it as "bacterial SSU rRNA". It matches the Rfam family "Bacterial small subunit ribosomal RNA", at positions 338 to 795 of the family's 1533-position model. The record is from RNAcentral.